Molecule: long non-coding RNA, 222 nt
Filed under: Sorghum bicolor (sorghum)
Lineage: Eukaryota; Viridiplantae; Streptophyta; Magnoliopsida; Poales; Poaceae
Description: long non-coding RNA (SBIC_LNC001330)
Source: RNAcentral
AUGGGGUGGAAUGGGCAAGAGGUAGCGAAAAGAGCCCCUAAGUUUUUUAGAUUACUUUGUGUUGGGUAUUUUAAGCGCAAACAAAAAAAUGUAAGUGCACGGAUACAGAUGUAGCUUUCACUCGGGAGUAUUGCAAGGUAUUGAUUUUCCAUAGGGAACACAAAGUGUAGUAGUUGAGUUUAAAUCGCCCAAGGCUAACUAUAUAUAUGAUUUUGUAGGGAG